AUCUCUCAGCCCUUUCUUGUCUAGAUCAUAUUAUCUUACCUUGAUAAACCUUCCCAAAUUUUCUGGUCUUCUAUCUCGUUAAAUGCUUUUGUUUUUUUCCUCUCAACAAACCUGCCAUUCUCUGAGACUCCCUUAGGCUGCAGAACGGGACCAAAUCAGCAGUCUGACUCAGACGAAGUGAGAUGGGAGUGCCGAAUGACCUGAGGGCACUGAAUUCACUUGUGGGGGUUACUAGCUCCUUACGCUUUCAUUUCCUCAUGAAUUUAGUCACUUAUCAAAGCUUUACUGAGCCCCUGCUGCACGCCAGGAGCCCUGUGCUGGGGGAGCGGAUCUGUGCAGAGUCUACUGUGAUCUUCUCCAGGAGCACUGGGGAGAAUGGGCAGCUGUUGGGAUGUUGGGAAGUGGUCAGGGGUCUCUGGGAAGAGGUAAUAUGUGGGCUAGGAACACAUUUCCAAGGUGGAGAAGGAGACAAAGCUUGGGAGGAUUCGGCAAGAUGCCACUGCCUCACUGAUUUUGCUCUGGAAGGUCACGGCCACAGGAUUCCAACAGUGCUCCCUCAUAGAUGGAAGAAGUGUGACCCCCCUUCAGGCUUCAGGGGGACUGGUCCUCCUGGAGGAGAUGCUCGCCUUGGGGAAUAAUCACUUUAUUGGUCCACUGUAACUUCAAAGGGGUGAAUGGUACAACCCAUGGCUGAUAAGAAUGUCCUUGUUGGAGCUGAGGUCAUUUCUUCAGGAUUAUAGCCAUCAAAUUAACCAUGGAACCCUGGAAAUCAACAAUUUGCAGGUCUUUCUAAUUGACGUCUUAACUGGAUUAGAAGGUUUCCCAGUCAGCCCAUGACUC
RNAcentral lists this small RNA (840 nucleotides) under Pan troglodytes (chimpanzee). RNAcentral describes it as "processed transcript". The record is from RNAcentral. Lineage: Eukaryota; Metazoa; Chordata; Mammalia; Primates; Hominidae.